GAGACUCUGUGCGCGUGCAUAUCAAUAAGCGGAGGAAAAGAAACUAACAAGGAUUCUCCUAGUAACGGCGAGUGAAGCGGGAAGAGCUCAAAUUUGAAAUCUUAAAGGGUUUCCCUUUACGAAUUGUAGUUUAAAGAAGUGUUUUCUGUUGGAGUUUCGGUAAAAGUUCUUUGGAAUAGGACAUCAUAGAGGGUGAGAAUCCCGUAUUUGACCGUUACUUUCCAGCUGUGUGAUACACUUUCAAAGAGUCGGAUUGUUUGGGAAUGCAGUCCAAGAUGGGUGGUAAAUUUCAUCUAAAGCUAAAUAUUGGCGAGAGACCGAUAGCGAACAAGUACCGUGAGGGAAAGAUGAAAAGAACUUUGAAAAGAGAGUUAAACAGUACGUGAAAUUGUCAAAAGGGAAGCGUUUGACACCAGUGUUGUUUAGUUGAAAAUCAAUUCAAUAGUUUUUGAUUCUAAGUAGUAUUGACUUCAUCAGCUUGCUGCUUUCUUCUCAGAAAUUAUUGAAUGCACUUUUCAGUUAACAAGUCAACAUCAAUUUCUUUUGUUGUAAAAGGGUAAGAGGAAGGUGGCUUGCGCUUCGGCUCAAGUGUUUAUAGCCUUUUAUCUCUGCAAUCGGAGAGAUUGAGGUCUGCAGCGUAGAUCCUUCGGGUUAGAUACAUUGGUGCUAAGCUAUAGCCUUGUAUAGACAACUUGUUGACUAUGCUCAGUCAUGUAGCUUACUCGCUGAUGCUAUUUUACCUACGCUUAGGAUGUUGACAGCAGUAUAGACUGU
This 774-nucleotide ribosomal RNA is filed under the name uncultured Neocallimastigales. RNAcentral describes it as "partial large subunit ribosomal RNA". It matches the Rfam family "Eukaryotic large subunit ribosomal RNA", at positions 23 to 638 of the family's 3401-position model. The record is from RNAcentral. Lineage: Eukaryota; Fungi; Neocallimastigomycota; Neocallimastigomycetes; Neocallimastigales.